Molecule: ribosomal RNA, 218 nt
Filed under: Clostridium perfringens
Lineage: Bacteria; Bacillati; Bacillota; Clostridia; Eubacteriales; Clostridiaceae
Description: partial 23S ribosomal RNA
Rfam family: Bacterial large subunit ribosomal RNA
Source: RNAcentral
GGUCAAGCUACAAAGGGCGCAUGGUGAAUGCCUUGGCAUCAGGAGCCGAUGAAGGACGUGAUAAGCUGCGAUAAGCUUCGGGUAGGCGCACAUAGCCUGAGAUCCGAAGAUCUCCGAAUGAGGAAACUCACAUGGGAAACUCCAUGUAUCAUUAAGUGAAUACAUAGCUUAAUGAAGGUAACCCAGGGAACUGAAACAUCUAAGUACCUGGAGGAAGA